GCGGGAAUAGUUCAGUGGCAGUACAAUAUUCUGCCAAUGGUUAGAACGCACAUUCGGUCUGUGUGAGACACGAGUUCGAAUCUUGUUUCCCGCA
This 94-nucleotide transfer RNA is filed under the name Bacteroidales bacterium. Its description in RNAcentral is "tRNA-Pro". It matches the Rfam family "tRNA". From Rfam's summary of the family: Transfer RNA (tRNA) molecules are approximately 80 nucleotides in length. Their secondary structure includes four short double-helical elements and three loops (D, anti-codon, and T loops). Further hydrogen bonds mediate the characteristic L-shaped molecular structure. tRNAs have two regions of fundamental functional importance: the anti-codon, which is responsible for specific mRNA codon recognition, and the 3' end, to which the tRNAs corresponding amino acid is attached (by aminoacyl-tRNA synthetases). tRNAs cope with the degeneracy of the genetic code in two manners: having more than one tRNA (with a specific anti-codon) for a particular amino acid; and 'wobble' base-pairing, i.e. permitting non-standard base-pairing at the 3rd anti-codon position. Lineage: Bacteria; Pseudomonadati; Bacteroidota; Bacteroidia; Bacteroidales. The record is from RNAcentral.